RNAcentral lists this ribosomal RNA (477 nucleotides) under uncultured bacterium. RNAcentral describes it as "SSU rRNA". It matches the Rfam family "Bacterial small subunit ribosomal RNA", at positions 26 to 518 of the family's 1533-position model. The record is from RNAcentral.
AGGACGAACGCUGGCGGCGUGCUUAACACAUGCAAGUCGAGCGAGGCUCCUCCUUCGGGAGGAUGCCCUAGCGGCGAACGGGUGAGUAACACGUGGGCAACCUGCCCCUAGCACUGGGAUAACCCCGGGAAACCGGGGCUAAUACCGGAUACGACUUCGGAAGGCAUCUUCUGAAGUGGAAAAGGUUACUGGCUAGGGAUGGGCCCGCGGCCUAUCAGCUUGUUGGUGGGGUAAUGGCCCACCAAGGCGACGACGGGUAGCCGGCCUGAGAGGGCGACCGGCCACACUGGGACUGAGACACGGCCCAGACUCCUACGGGAGGCAGCAGUGGGAAUAUUGCACAGUGGGCGAAAGCCUGAUGCAGCGACGCCGCGUGAGGGAUGACGGCCUUCGGUUGUAAACCUCUUUCAGCAGGGACGAAGCGAAAGUGACGGUACCUGCAGAAGAAGCACCGGCCAACUACGUGCCAGCAGCCGC